UCUGAGAGAAGCAGGGACAAUCUGAAGAGGUUUUAGAGAAAGUGUCUCCUGUUCAUUAUUGCACGAGCAACGUAAGAACCAGCACCAGAAUAUACCUGGCUCUUUUCUCCUUCUCUUUUUUCCAAGAUAUUGUCCUGUUCAUACGCUAUCCAAAAGGAGCAGAAACUGCCCCAGAAAGUUUUCAACCAUUACAUGGAAGUGCAGCCACCUCUGGAAAGAAACCUGGGACCUUUUUGACAGCUAUAUUAUACAGCAUUGUAGCACAGACUGGAGGAAAGAAAAUAAUAUGCCCAUCUGAAAUUGUGAAGGGGAGAUGGGGGAGAAGACAGUAAGUAGCCAAAAAGGAAAAUAAUAGGAGCAACACCUAACUCCUCAGUAAGGAGGUGGAAGAGAAUGAAUGACCGCACAUGGAUAGACAGUGGAUGUUAUGUUUUAUGCCAGAAAUUUUCAGCCUGGACCAUAGAAGCUCGGGCAUCCAUAGACUUUUUCUGAGAGAGCUGAGAAAGCCAACAGAGGAAAGUGAGCCAACUGCAAGGGCUUAUUUUAGACUUCCACCUCCAGCAGGCAAAGCUUUAGGGGGCUUCAAACCAAAACAGGGUGGAAAUCAGUGUUUUUUUCCAAAACAGGUCAGCCAGACCCCAUCAACACCACAAGGUGGGGUUAGUCCAGCGUAGAUCCGCUGCCGACAAACGCCAGGUAGUGAAUAAUAAUUGCAGUCCCACUUCCUGCAGCAAUUUCUCCAUAGAGGUUUCUUAUUGACCCAGUGCAGUUUAGCUUGUGAGAUGUGAUGAAAUCAUAGCCGGAGGGUUUAUGGCAGUGGCUGCGGGCUAUUAAAGCUCAGAUGCCAUCCUUAA
Harpia harpyja (harpy eagle) is the source of this 854-nucleotide long non-coding RNA. RefSeq lists it as uncharacterized. The record is from RefSeq and is a predicted model, not a curated record. The transcript is spliced from 2 exons. NCBI's taxonomy places the organism in Eukaryota, Metazoa, Chordata, Aves, Accipitriformes, Accipitridae.